Molecule: ribosomal RNA, 468 nt
Filed under: uncultured bacterium
Lineage: Bacteria
Description: partial 16S ribosomal RNA
Rfam family: Bacterial small subunit ribosomal RNA
Source: RNAcentral
GACGAACGCUGGCGGCGUGCUUAACACAUGCAAGUCGAACGGAAAGGCCCUGCUUUUGUGGGGUGCUCGAGUGGCGAACGGGUGAGUAACACGUGAGUAACCUGCCCUUGACUUUGGGAUAACUUCAGGAAACUGGGGCUAAUACCGGAUAGGAGCUACUGCUGCAUGGUGGGGGUUGGAAAGUUUCGGCGGUUGGGGAUGGACUCGCGGCUUAUCAGCUUGUUGGUGGGGUAGUGGCUUACCAAGGCUUUGACGGGUAGCCGGCCUGGGAGGGUGACCGGCCACAUUGGGACUGAGAUGCGGCCCAGACUCGUACGGGAGGCAGCAGUGGGGAAUAUUGCACAAUGGGCGGAAGCCUGAUGCAGCAACGCCGCGUGCGGGAUGACGGCCUUCGGGUUGUAAACCGCUUUCGCCUGUGACGAAGCGAGAGUGACGGUAAUGGGUAAAGAAGCACCGGCUAACUACGUG